UGGGGAAUAUUGGACAAUGGGCGAAAGCCUGAUCCAGCCAUGCCGCGUGUGUGAAGAAGGUCUUCGGAUUGUAAAGCACUUUAAGUUGGGAGGAAGGGCAGUUACCUAAUACGUGAUUGUCUUGACGUUACCGACAGAAUAAGCACCGGCUAACUCUGUGCCAGCAGCCGCGGUAAUACAGAGGGUGCAAGCGUUAAUCGGAAUUACUGGGCGUAAAGCGCGCGUAGGUGGCUUGUUAAGUUGGAUGUGAAAUCCCCGGGCUCAACCUGGGAACUGCAUUCAAAACUGCCAAGCUAGAGUAUGGUAGAGGGUGGUGGAAUUUCCUGUGUAGCGGUGAAAUGCGUAGAUAUAGGAAGGAACACCAGUGGCGAAGGCGACCACCUGGACUGAUACUGACACUGAGGUGCGAAAGCGUGGGGAGCAAAACAGGAUUAGAUACCCUGGUAGUCCACGCCGUAAACGUGUCAACUAGCCGUUGGGAGCCUUGAGCUCUUAGUGGCGCAGCUAACGCAUUAAGUUGACCGCCUGGGGAGUACGGCCGCAAGGUU
This 548-nucleotide ribosomal RNA is filed under the name uncultured bacterium. Its description in RNAcentral is "partial 16S ribosomal RNA". It matches the Rfam family "Bacterial small subunit ribosomal RNA", at positions 355 to 895 of the family's 1533-position model. The record is from RNAcentral.